RNAcentral lists this ribosomal RNA (586 nucleotides) under Burkholderia sp. Z46_2. RNAcentral describes it as "bacterial SSU rRNA". It matches the Rfam family "Bacterial small subunit ribosomal RNA", at positions 94 to 676 of the family's 1533-position model. The record is from RNAcentral. Lineage: Bacteria; Pseudomonadati; Pseudomonadota; Betaproteobacteria; Burkholderiales; Burkholderiaceae.
AGUGGCGAACGGGUGAGUAAUACAUCGGAACGUGUCCUGUAGUGGGGGAUAGCCCGGCGAAAGCCGGAUUAAUACCGCAUACGCUCUACGGAGGAAAGGGGGGGAUCUUAGGACCUCCCGCUACAGGGGCGGCCGAUGGCAGAUUAGCUAGUUGGUGGGGUAAAGGCCUACCAAGGCGACGAUCUGUAGCUGGUCUGAGAGGACGACCAGCCACACUGGGACUGAGACACGGCCCAGACUCCUACGGGAGGCAGCAGUGGGGAAUUUUGGACAAUGGGGGCAACCCUGAUCCAGCAAUGCCGCGUGUGUGAAGAAGGCCUUCGGGUUGUAAAGCACUUUUGUCCGGAAAGAAAACGCCGUGGUUAAUACCCGUGGCGGAUGACGGUACCGGAAGAAUAAGCACCGGCUAACUACGUGCCAGCAGCCGCGGUAAUACGUAGGGUGCAAGCGUUAAUCGGAAUUACUGGGCGUAAAGCGUGCGCAGGCGGUCCGCUAAGACAGAUGUGAAAUCCCCGGGCUUAACCUGGGAACUGCAUUUGUGACUGGCGGGCUAGAGUAUGGCAGAGGGGGGUAGAAUUCCACGUGU